RNAcentral lists this ribosomal RNA (465 nucleotides) under uncultured bacterium. RNAcentral's name for it is "bacterial SSU rRNA". It matches the Rfam family "Bacterial small subunit ribosomal RNA", at positions 28 to 507 of the family's 1533-position model. The record is from RNAcentral.
GACGAAUGCUGGCGGCGUGCCUAACACAUGCAAGUCGAACGGGGUUACGAGAGCUUGCUCUUGUAACUUAGUGGCGAACGGGUGAGUAACGCGUGAGAAACCUGCCUUUCAGUGGGGGACAACAGUUGGAAACGACUGCUAAUACCGCAUAACGUAUUUUGGGGGCAUCGCUUGAUAACCAAAGCUUUAUGUGCUGAAAGAUGGUCUCGCGUCUGAUUAGCUAGUUGGUGGGGUAACGGCCUACCAAGGCAACGAUCAGUAGCCGGACUGAGAGGUUGAUCGGCCACAUUGGGACUGGGACACGGCCCAGACUCCUACGGGAGGCAGCAGUGGGGAAUAUUGCACAAUGGGGAAAACCCUGAUGCAGCGACGCCGCGUGAGGGAAGAAGGUAUUCGUAUUGUAAACCUCUGUCUUCGGGGACGAUAAUGACGGUACCCGAGGAGGAAGCACCGGCUAACUACGUG